Molecule: ribosomal RNA, 470 nt
Filed under: uncultured bacterium
Lineage: Bacteria
Description: bacterial SSU rRNA
Rfam family: Bacterial small subunit ribosomal RNA
Source: RNAcentral
ACUCCUACGGGAGGCAGCAGUGGGGAAUAUUGCACAAUGGGCGCAAGCCUGAUGCAGCCAUGCCGCGUGUAUGAAGAAGGCCUUCGGGUUGUAAAGUACUUUCAGUUGUGAGGAAAGGUUAGUCGCUAAUAUCGGCUAGCUGUGACGUUAGCAACAGAAGAAGCACCGGCUAACUCCGUGCCAGCAGCCGCGGUAAUACGGAGGGUGCGAGCGUUAAUCGGAAUUACUGGGCGUAAAGCGCGUGUAGGUGGCUUGUUAAGCCAGAUGUGAAAGCCCCGGGCUCAACCUGGGAACUGCAUUUGGAACUGGCAGGCUAGAGUUUUGUAGAGGGUGGUAGAAUUUCAGGUGUAGCGGUGAAAUGCGUAGAGAUCUGAAGGAAUACCGGUGGCGAAGGCGACCACCUGGCCAAUAACUGACACUGAGACGCGAAGGCGUGGGUAGCAAACGGGAUUAGAUACCCUGGUAGGUGA